CGAAAAGUUACUAAGGGCGUACGGUGGAUGCCUUGGCUCUCAGAGGCGAUGAAGGACGCGAUAGGCUGCGAUAAGCCACGGGGAGGAGCAUAAUAUCCUGUGAUCCGUGGAUCUCCGAAUGGGGCAACCCACCCGGUUGAAGACCGGGUAUCCUGAAAAGGAAGCGAACCCAGGGAACUGAAACAUCUAAGUACCUGGAGGAAAAGAAAACAAGUAGUGAUCCCCCUAGUAGUGGCGAGCGAACAGGGGACAGCCCAAACCGGGACCGUUUCGGCGGUGC
This 280-nucleotide ribosomal RNA is filed under the name Nitrospira sp. RNAcentral's name for it is "partial 23S ribosomal RNA". It matches the Rfam family "Bacterial large subunit ribosomal RNA", at positions 1 to 301 of the family's 2925-position model. The record is from RNAcentral. Lineage: Bacteria; Pseudomonadati; Nitrospirota; Nitrospiria; Nitrospirales; Nitrospiraceae.